AGAGAUGCACUGGGUUUAAAGGGUGCGCAGGCGGUUUUGUAAGACAGAGGUGAAAUCCCCGGGCUCAACCUGGGAACUGCCUUUGUGACUGCAAGGCCGGAGUGCGGCAGAGGGGGAUGGAAUUCCGCGUGUAGCAGUGAAAUGCGUAGAUAUGCGGAGGAACACCGAUGGCGAAGGCAAUCCCCCUGGGCCUGCACUGACGCUCAUGCACGAGAGCGUGGGGAGCAAACA
This 231-nucleotide ribosomal RNA is filed under the name uncultured Alicycliphilus sp. Its description in RNAcentral is "partial 16S ribosomal RNA". It matches the Rfam family "Bacterial small subunit ribosomal RNA", at positions 548 to 774 of the family's 1533-position model. Lineage: Bacteria; Pseudomonadati; Pseudomonadota; Betaproteobacteria; Burkholderiales; Comamonadaceae. The record is from RNAcentral.